GGCGGGUCUCCCCGCAUCGUAGCGUGGUCAACCUGGUCAGGUCCGGAAGGAAGCAGCCACAGCCGCUAACUGCGAGUGCCGGGGGUCAGGCUCGCCACC
This 99-nucleotide signal recognition particle RNA is filed under the name Rhodocyclaceae bacterium. RNAcentral's name for it is "signal recognition particle sRNA small type". It matches the Rfam family "Bacterial small signal recognition particle RNA". Rfam says of the family: The signal recognition particle (SRP) is a universally conserved ribonucleoprotein involved in the co-translational targeting of proteins to membranes. Archaeal SRP consists of a 7S RNA and homologues of the eukaryotic SRP19 and SRP54 proteins. The record is from RNAcentral. Lineage: Bacteria; Pseudomonadati; Pseudomonadota; Betaproteobacteria; Rhodocyclales; Rhodocyclaceae.